This 253-nucleotide ribosomal RNA is filed under the name uncultured bacterium. Its description in RNAcentral is "partial 16S ribosomal RNA". It matches the Rfam family "Bacterial small subunit ribosomal RNA", at positions 524 to 776 of the family's 1533-position model. The record is from RNAcentral.
UACAGAGGGGGCAAGCGUUGUUCGGAAUUACUGGGCGUAAAGGGCGCGUAGGCGGCCUGCUAAGUCGAACGUGAAAUCCCCGGGCUCAACCCGGGAACUGCGUCCGAUACUGGCAGGCUUGAAUCCGGGAGAGGGAUGUGGAAUUCCAGGUGUAGCGGUGAAAUGCGUAGAUAUCCGGAGGAACACCGGUGGCGAAGGCGGCUUCCUGGACCGACACUGACGCUGAGGCGCGAAAGCUAGGGGAGCAAACGGG